GACGUAGGGCGCGAGCGUUGUCCGGAUUUAUUGGGCGUAAAGAGCUCGUAGGCGGCUUGUCGCGUCGUCCGUGAAAACUUGGGGCUCAACCCCAAGCUUGCGGUCGAUACGGGCAGGCUAGAGUUCGGUAGGGGAGACUGGAAUUCCUGGUGUAGCGGUGAAAUGCGCAGAUAUCAGGAGGAACACCGGUGGCGAAGGCGGGUCUCUGGGCCGAUACUGACGCUGAGGAUCGAAAGCCAGGGGAGCAAACGGG
Molecule: ribosomal RNA, 253 nt
Filed under: uncultured bacterium
Lineage: Bacteria
Description: partial 16S ribosomal RNA
Rfam family: Bacterial small subunit ribosomal RNA
Source: RNAcentral